Molecule: ribosomal RNA, 1066 nt
Filed under: Sordariomycetes sp. genotype 828 JMUR-2016
Lineage: Eukaryota; Fungi; Ascomycota; Sordariomycetes
Description: eukaryotic LSU rRNA
Rfam family: Eukaryotic large subunit ribosomal RNA (bases 488-1066)
Source: RNAcentral
GGAUCAUUACCGAGUUUACAACUCCCAAACCCCUGUGAACAUACCUCUUGUUGCUUCGGCGGGAUCGCACCGGCGCCUCUGUGCCCGGGACCAGGCGCCCGCCGGAGGCCCCAAACUCUUGUUUUCUCCCAGUGAUAUCCUCUGAGUCUCACAAACAAAUAAAUCAAAACUUUCAACAACGGAUCUCUUGGUUCUGGCAUCGAUGAAGAACGCAGCGAAAUGCGAUAAGUAAUGUGAAUUGCAGAAUUCAGUGAAUCAUCGAAUCUUUGAACGCACAUUGCGCCCGCUAGUACUCUAGCGGGCAUGCCUGUCCGAGCGUCAUUUCAACCCUCGAGCCCCCGGGCUUGGUGUUGGGGAUCGGCCGCCGCUCACCCGGCGGCCGGCCCCGAAUUAUAGUGGCGGUCUCGCUGUAGCCUCCUCUGCGUAGUAGCACACCUCGCACUGGAACGCGGCGCGGCCACGCCGUAAAACCCCGACUUCUGAAGGUUGACCUCGGAUCAGGUAGGAAUACCCGCUGAACUUAAGCAUAUCAAUAAGCGGAGGAAAAGAAACCAACAGGGAUUGCCCUAGUAACGGCGAGUGAAGCGGCAACAGCUCAAAUUUGAAAUCUGGCCCUCGCGGUCCGAGUUGUAAUUUGUAGAGGAUGCUUUUGGUGCGGUGCCUUCCGAGUUCCCUGGAACGGGACGCCAUAGAGGGUGAGAGCCCCGUCUGGUUGGACACCAAUCCUCUGUAAAGCUCCUUCGACGAGUCGAGUAGUUUGGGAAUGCUGCUCUAAAUGGGAGGUAAAUGUCUUCUAAAGCUAAAUACCGGCCAGAGACCGAUAGCGCACAAGUAGAGUGAUCGAAAGAUGAAAAGCACUUUGAAAAGAGGGUUAAAUAGUACGUGAAAUUGUUGAAAGGGAAGCGUUUGUGACCAGACUUGGGCCCGGUUAAUCAUCCAGCGUUCUCGCUGGUGCACUUUGCCGGCCCAGGCCAGCAUCAGUUCGCCGCGGGGGACAAAAGCUGCGGGAAUGUGGCUCUUCGGAGUGUUAUAGCCCGCUGCACAAUACCCUGUGGCGGACUGAGGU